CGCUUGCCAUAUUCUUCUUUUCUCAAAAUCCUAAUGGAUUGUUGAUUUCCCCACCCUAUAAUCGCGAUUUGAGUGAGGAAUUGAGAGAUGCCAGUGCUGUCUCCUCUAACCACGGGUCUCCGAAACCGACAACACCUUGUCACACCGCCCUUCUUCGUCAGCACAUAUUUCCGCCAAAAGUCGAUAGGGAAGGAGAUCUAAAAACAAUAAUCUGGUAUGCGCGUGAACAGUGGUUUCAAGAUGGUUAAAAAUACUGCAUGGAGAUGUCUUGAUAAAAUUGGAGUUUUAAUACCAAGAGAAUUCUUAGUACUAGAAAUUGUAAAUCUACUGUGAAUUCUCAGUACAGUUAAUUUAAAUUGCAAUGCAUGCAGAAGCAGAUUAUAUUGAGCUUCAAAAA
This is a long non-coding RNA of Hevea brasiliensis (rubber tree), 397 nucleotides long. RefSeq lists it as uncharacterized. The transcript is spliced from 2 exons. The record is from RefSeq and is a predicted model, not a curated record. NCBI's taxonomy places the organism in Eukaryota, Viridiplantae, Streptophyta, Magnoliopsida, Malpighiales, Euphorbiaceae.